GGAUUAGAUACCCUGGUAGUCCACGCCGUAAACGAUGUCGACUUGGAGGUUGUGCCCUUGAGGCGUGGCUUCCGGAGCUAACGCGUUAAGUCGACCGCCUGGGGAGUACGGCCGCAAGGUUAAAACUCAAAUGAAUUGACGGGGGCCCGCACAAGCGGUGGAGCAUGUGGUUUAAUUCGAUGCAACGCGAAGAACCUUACCUGGUCUUGACAUCCACAGAACUUUCCAGAGAUGGAUUGGUGCCUUCGGGAACUGUGAGACAGGUGCUGCAUGGCUGUCGUCAGCUCGUGUUGUGAAAUGUUGGGUUAAGUCCCGCAACGAGCGCAACCCUUAUCCUUUGUUGCCAGCGGUCCGGCCGGGAACUCAAAGGAGACUGCCAGUGAUAAACUGGAGGAAGGUGGGGAUGACGUCAAGUCAUCAUGGCCCUUACGACCAGGGCUACACACGUGCUACAAUGGCGCAUACAAAGAGAAGCAAUCUCGCGAGAGCUAGCGGACCUCAUAAAGUGCGUCGUAGUCCGGAUUGGAGUCUGCAACUCGACUCCAUGAAGUCGGAAUCGCUAGUAAUCGUGAAUCAGAAUGUCACGGUGAAUACGUUCCCGGGCCUUGUACACACCGCCCGUCACACCAUGGGAGUGGGUUGCAAAAGAAGUAGGUAGCUUAACCUUCGGGAGGGCGCUUACCACUUUGUGAUUCAUGACUGGGGUGAAGUCGUAACAAGGUAGC
Molecule: ribosomal RNA, 725 nt
Filed under: uncultured Enterobacter sp.
Lineage: Bacteria; Pseudomonadati; Pseudomonadota; Gammaproteobacteria; Enterobacterales; Enterobacteriaceae
Description: bacterial SSU rRNA
Rfam family: Bacterial small subunit ribosomal RNA
Source: RNAcentral